CACCUUUACGGAAGAUUUUCCCAAUAUCCACAUCCCAACACCAGUAACGAUAACUCCGCCUCUAGUUAGAACAAGGGAGACAGAAAGUUACAGUUUUCCUCCAAUUAAAAGAGCUUCGAUGUUGGAUACAGGAUCGCGGCAUUGUGAACAAUACAGAUGGGCCAAGAAAAAGAUGCAUCACUAUAUUUCGAUCUCCAAGUACCUGUCCUACACCUGCCUGUCUCACACGAUGGCUGACCUGUCCCACAAAGUUUACCAGAGACGUUCAUUCACCUACUAGCUGAGUUUGUCACUGGGAUAAAGUCAACAUUGUGUCAUGUACAUAUGACCAAUAUUACAUCAAUAACGUUUGGAUUUAUUUACACAAGACAA
Physella acuta is the source of this 372-nucleotide long non-coding RNA. RefSeq lists it as uncharacterized. Lineage: Eukaryota; Metazoa; Mollusca; Gastropoda; Physidae. The record is from RefSeq and is a predicted model, not a curated record.